Non-coding RNA from Ictidomys tridecemlineatus (thirteen-lined ground squirrel), 69 nucleotides. The record is from Rfam. Lineage: Eukaryota; Metazoa; Chordata; Mammalia; Rodentia; Sciuridae.
GGGGUUGUGGCUCAGUGGUAGAGCGCUUGCCUUGCAUGUGUGAGGCACUGGGUUCAAGUCUCAGCACCA